GGGCAUUUGGCACAGUGGUAGCGCGCACGCUUCGCAUAGGAGUUCUCCAUAUGGCCUUGCGUGAGGACCAGGGUUCAAUCCCCUGAAUGUCCA
This is a non-coding RNA of Abortiporus biennis, 93 nucleotides long. The record is from the annotation of a GenBank genome assembly. Lineage: Eukaryota; Fungi; Basidiomycota; Agaricomycetes; Polyporales; Podoscyphaceae.